This 281-nucleotide unclassified non-coding RNA is filed under the name Phlebiella borealis. RNAcentral describes it as "partial contains 5.8S ribosomal RNA, internal transcribed spacer 2, and large subunit ribosomal RNA". Lineage: Eukaryota; Fungi; Basidiomycota; Agaricomycetes; Xenasmatellaceae. The record is from RNAcentral.
CGCACCUUGCACUCCUUGGUAUUCCGAGGAGUAUGCCUGUUCGAGUGUCAUGAAGUUAUCAACUCGUAAAUUUUUAUUGAUUUACGCAGUUGGAUGUGGAGCUUGUUGGUUGUUAAUCAACUGCUCUGAAAUGUAUUAGCCGUCUUGUUACUUGAUGUGACUGCAUCAGUGUAGUAAUUUAUUAUGCACUGGCGACCUCAUCUAAUUACAAGUGUUGCUCAUAAAGACCCAAUUUCAUUCAUUUUGGCCUCGAAUCAGGUAGGACUACCCGCUGAACUUAA